UGGCGGGAUAGAGCAGCCAGGUAGCUCGUCAGGUUCAUGUCCUGAAGGCCGGAGGUUCAAAUCCUUCUCCCGCAACCA
RNAcentral lists this transfer RNA (78 nucleotides) under Rhizobium rosettiformans. RNAcentral's name for it is "tRNA-Met". It matches the Rfam family "tRNA". From Rfam's summary of the family: Transfer RNA (tRNA) molecules are approximately 80 nucleotides in length. Lineage: Bacteria; Pseudomonadati; Pseudomonadota; Alphaproteobacteria; Hyphomicrobiales; Rhizobiaceae. The record is from RNAcentral.